ACACAAUUUCAAUCUUUGCAGAGCUUGUCAACGUUGAACCUCUCUUACAAUAACCUCUCUGGUAGCAUCACCAUUUUCAAUGAGCUCCGAGGCUUGGUCCAAGUUGACAUAGCACAUAAUGAAUUGGAGGGUCCAAUUCCUGAUGUCCCAGCGUUUCAAAAUGCUUCAAUACAAGCAUUAGAAGGAAACAGGGGUUUGUGUGGCAAUGUUAGUGGGUUGAAACCUUGCAAGCUUUCUAAAAACGGCCACCACAAGUUACUGUACGCAAUCAUGCUUCCUCUGUUAGGAGCUGCUAUCCUUUCAAUUGCUAUUCUGGCUUUGUUUUUUGGCUUCAAAAAAAAAGGAAAAGAUGCAGAUGAAGAAAGGGAAAGCACCAAGACUGAUGAGAACCUCUUUGCAAUAUCGUCCGUCGAUGGAAGAUUGUUGUAUGCUGAGAUUAUAAGUGCUACUAAAAACUUUAAUUCUCAGUGCUGCAUUAGCAAGGGAGAAUACGGAAAUGUAUACCGAGUAGAAUUGUCAUCAGGUGAUAUUGUAGCUGUGAAGAAAGUCCUUCCACUGCAUGCUGAUGAAGUUAGCACUGCAAAAGAAUUCCAAAAUGAAGUAAUGGCGCUCAUAGAUAUACAGCAUGGGAAUAUUGUGAAGUUCUACGGGUUUUGUUGCUCUGCUGAACAAACAUUCUUGGUUUACAAAUACCUCGAAAAAGGUAGUUUGGCUACCAAUCUAAGCAAUGAUGAAACAGCAAAAGAAUUGGACUGGGAUAAAAGGCUGAAUAUUAUAAAUGGGGUUGCUUAUGCCCUGUCUUACUUGCACCAUGAUUGCUCACCACCAAUUGUCCAUCGAGACCUUACAAGCAACAAUGUUUUGCUCGACUUGGAAUUUGAAGCUCACAUUUCAGGUUUUGGCAUGGCUAAACUUCUCAAUCCAGACUCAUCUAAUUGGACAAAUCUUGCUGGAACAUAUGGAUAUGUCGCACCAGGUGAUGUAGUUUAUAGAAAUCUUUUGGUGCAUGAAAGGUAGAUCAUUGUUCUGUAAUUGACUAUUUCUUUGUUUUUUCUUUUCCUUGGCAGAGCUUGCCUACACAAUGAAGGUUACAGAAAAGUGUGAUGUUUAUAGUUUUGGAGUGUUGAUUCUGGAAGUUAUCGUGGGAGCACAUCCGGGUGAUUUGAUCGCCACGCUACCAUCUUCAUCCCUUGAAAUGCGGCUUCUGGUGAAAGAUGUCUUGGAUCAAAAGCCUUUACCUCCAUCAGCAUACAUUCAAGACAAACUAGUAUCUUUAAUGAAGAUUGCUUUUAUCUGUUUGGCUGACAAUCCACAUUCUAGACCAACCAUGUGUGCUGUUUCUCAGCUGUUAGCCAGCUGAAUCAUUUCCUUCCAAGGGUCUUACAUUGAAUUGCAGACUGCCAUGUACGUUGUUUCUCAGCUGUUACUCUUUGAAGUCCUAAUAUUUUUAUUGUUGUGUCAUUGCUGGUAUACAUGUAGAUUACUAAGGAAACUUUACCAGGUUUUCAUGUAUCAUAUUUAUGUUUGUAAGUGAUUUCCAAGCAAAUAGACCCCAUUAUGUAACUUAUUUUGAAAAAUGUAGAUUUGAUUUUAAUACUUCUCAUUACACAUUCCCAUAUGUUAUAUAAAAUAUUCUAACUUAUGACGCAUUUAACAGAGGACUUCGACUUUCAAUCGAGCAAUUAUCUGCAAUAUAUAUGUCGAAUUUACUUACAAUCCCAUUGCACAAGCUGGUCAGUGAUUGGCUCUCUGAGAGAAAAAUCUAUGGUCCGUCCAAAUGUCAAGCUAUGCAUCGAAAUUCUUUAUUUUUCUACAGUAUUAGUAUCUGGCACUUAUAUUGGGAACUUUAGUAUAGAUAAGAUCAUCCAAAUAAAUGAAAAAGCUAAGAAAAAUUGAGUUGGAAGGAUUUGCGAUGUCUGUUUGAAGAAUAUUACAUUAACCAGUCUUGAAAUCUUCAAAUAGCUAUGACUUGUCUUCAGGAAAUUAGUAACUAUGAAAGCUACCCUUUAACAACUUAAUUUAAUGUCCAUUGACAUUAUUAAGUCCCCAAAAAUCAACAGUUCUCUUGGAGCUUGACCCCAAACCUCAACAAGUACGUCUCCAUGCAGCUAUGUAACCAUAUUCCAUCUGAACAUAUUUAAUGUUUCCAUACUCUUUCCUUGAUUUGGCUUACAAUUCCAUCCGAACUUUCCUUGUUGACAAGUCUAGACCACCUUGCUAUGGCUCGUAACAACAUAAAUGGCACCAUACCAAAAUAGAUAGGGAAGUUGAGAUCACUUUCUCAACUCUUUUUUGCAUAAAAAUGAACUGGCAGACAAUAUCCAUUCUCCUAUAGGGAAAUUGAGCAACUUGGUUAAUCUCUAUCUUGGCGACAAUGAACUCUACGUCUCCAUCCCUGACUUGAAUUGUUUGAUUUGUCAAGGAACCAUCUUGAUGGUAGCUUCCCUCGGAAACAUGACUAGUUUAGCAUUUCUUUACAACCCCUGAUUCCAUGGGAAACCCCAUGUCAGACAUUUUGGAUUAGCUGAGAAUGAAUCAACUGGAAAUUUACCAGAAAAUAUAUGCUUUGGUGGACUGCUUGGGAAACUUACUGUAGAAAACAACCAUUUCAAGGCCCCAUACCAACGGCUUUGGAAAUUGCACCAGCUUAAUAGAACUUAAGCUUGAAGAGAAUCAACUUAAUAGCUGAAGGUUUUGGCACAUAUCCGAACUUGAAGUACACUAUUUAAGUUAUAACCAGUUGUCUGGGGAGCUAUCUAAUAAAUGGGAACAAUACCCCCAAUUUGACAAGCUUGAGAUUUGCCAAUAACAUCUCUGGGCGAAUGCCAACUAACCUUGGGGAAGCAUGUUAGCUACAAAUGCUUGACCUAUCUUUAAAACAUUUAAGAGGGGAGAUUCCAAUAGAACUUGAGACGUUGACGUCACUGAACAUCCUUUUGCUUGAUGAUAACAUGUUAUCUGGUUACUUUUCCCUAGGGAUUCAGAUGCUAUCUGGUAUGCAAAGCCUUAGCUUUGCCCGCAACAAAAUGGGCUGCUCAAUUCCCAGUCAAUUAGGACGGUGCUUGAAUUUAAGUAUGAACAAGUUUAAUGAAGGCUGGUUUUCAGCCUUUUCCAUCCACAAGCCAAAAUGGUCGACUGACAAAGUGUAACAAAGUCCUUUUGAUCCUGGUCCUUCUCUUUGGCGGUGAAGCUCUUUUUUUCUAUCACUGUUGUGAUAUCAUUAACCGAAGAAUUAGGGACAAAGAAAACGAAUCAAGAGAAGCACAGACCAGAAGUCCCUUCAUGAUACGGUGCUACGAUAGAAAAUAAUUAAGCAUUCGGACACCAUUAUCAACCAAAGGAAUUGACUCAAAACAUUGUGUCAAAGUAUGACGGAAUGUGUUAAAAGGUGGCUUUCAUGCAGACCAUUCUGUUCGAGCCAUGCAAGUUGCAGCCGAAGAACAUACUGCUGCUUUUUGUUGGUUAAUUGAUGUUUUGCUACUUAGUUACAUUUGAACUAAGUAUAUAAUGUAUUUGAUGUAAUUUGGUGGUGAUGGAUUUGAUAAAUCAGCUUAACCAAGUGUGCAAGCAAUUUUUUAUAAGUUUCAAGACUUUGUUAGUGGAGUUAAGUGUAUUUAGGUAACACUUUUUUUGUUUUUCAGACAAGUUGAUUACUUGUUAUAUGUAAUGAAAUGUUUUCAGAAGAGAAUAGAUGAAUCUUUCAGCAUUUUUCUCUUCUCGUUUUGGUUCUUGUUAAGCAAUCUGUUCUUGUUAUUUUCAAGCCCGAUUUCUUUAUUUGUUCAGCAAGUCACUGUAGCUUCAAGCUCAAGACUCUGAUGUGAUUUCUUAAUUUGUUUCUUAACUCCUACAGAAUGUUCCUUGAGGUAAGGAGGGAAAGGGCUUUCCACGGUUUGUUAUGAUCUUCAUGAUGGCUUUUCAAACAUGGACAUCAUCUAAUUAUUUGUAUUUCAUGAUUAUAAUAAUUGUAAUAUUAUAUAUUCGAAUAUAUUUUAAUUGGAUAAUUAUUAAUUCAUGUUUAUCCUAAAAAGCAAUAGCCUUCCAAGAAAAGGAGAAGAGAAAAAGAAUAGAAUAGAAGAAAAUGAAAAAGACAAAAAAAAGGAAGGAAAAUUAAAAUAUAAAAAAAUUGUUCAAAAAGAAAAAGUAUAGAGUGGAAUUUGAGCUAAAUUUUUUGUUCAUAUCAGCUUGAAGUUACACUUAGAGGUGAUCAUGGAUCAUGUCAAGUUUAAGCUGGGUUUAGACAUGAUAUUUAUAUGCUUUAUCCUUGUUGGAGUCCAACACUACUUAAAAUAUGAAUUUAAAAUUUUGACUAAAUCCGCCCAUAUUUAUUAAUAGUUAAUCUAAGCCUAUUUUAGGCCUAUCCAUGUUAUUUUUUAAAAAAGUUCAACAAUUAUGUUUUAUUAUUUUUAAUGUAAUUUUUUAAGAUAGUGCAAAGAACCAUGGAAAAGAAAAUAAUUUUUUUCAUUAAAACAGUUUGGACAGCAGCAGUGACUUAACUUUGAAAAUUCACCAAAAUUUAUAGAAAAUUUAGUUAGAGAUUGACUUAAAUAUGUAAUUAAAGCUUAUUGAGUGUAGUUUCAUAUGGAAGAAAUGGAAUUUUAUACUGUUAGAUAUAUUAAUUUUCGUGAAAUAAGGUCAGAGUGGAUUUGGGUUCCCCUGUUCUGACUUUGGAAAAUCAUAAAAAAAUUGUAAAAAAAAUUAUUAGGGUUUUAAAUUUAUAUGUUUAAAUUAUUAAUGAUUCUAUUUUCAAGAGAAACAAACGUAAACAUCAUCCAAACCCCGUACUAAGAGAUAAUUAAUUUUUAGUAAAGAAAGGUCGAAGCUGUCAAACAACAGAACAUGGACAAAUUUGAAGAAUUUACUGUACUUAUUAGCUAAGUCAUAAAUUCUGAAAUUUUUAUGGUAAAAAGAUAUUUGAGUCUAGUUUCAAAAAUAUCAAGCGGAUCUUAAUUUCGAAUUCUGUAGCUCAAGAUAUAAAUAAUUUAGUGACUAUAAUUCAAGUGGACAACUUUGAUAUGAACACAUAAGUAAAUAGUGGAAUUAUAGAUAAUGUUACAUAUAAGCAUGUUAUAUACUAAAAUUUAAAGAUUCUAACAAAUAUAUACAUAAAGUAUGGAGAGGAGGAGGAUGAAAAAAAUAUAUGAAUAUAUAUACAGUAGAUGAAUUUGAAAUGUUUCGAAAUGGUUGUAAGUGAUGGAAUGAUUAAUACAUGUGAGUAUGUUUAAACGAAUUGGUAAAAUAAUAAGUGAAUAAUUGUUAAUUGAUGUGAUAUUGAAUUCUUUGCUAAAAUUUUAUAAAGAAUUAAAUUGAUUUGCACAAUUUAGAAAUAAAUAUGAAAUAUACGUAAAGUGGGUAAACUACUUUUAAAAGUGCAGGUCCUCCAAUGCUCUUAUUUGCAAAACUUUAAUAUUUGUGUUAAUUUUAUAUACUUUGUUAUCUUUGAUUGAAUAUCAUGUUUUUAUAAGGACUUGAUAUUAGAAAUACGUGUAAGUGGAUGAUAUAUAAAAUGAAGUAGCGGUUAUGAAACCUGAAUAUAUAUUCAAGUAAUGAUAUAUAAAAAUAAAUAAAUAAAAAUAAAGAGCGGAACUUGUAAGAAAAUGGAGACGACGUCACGAUGACAAGUUCGCCAUGUCACGACGUGGAAACCCCAACAUCGCGACGACAAUUCAGAAAUUUUUAUGAACUUUACAGUUUGGCCUUUGAUCAAUUAUGGAUGUUUUAAUGAGCUCCUUUAACUCAUUAUUAGUUCUAUCAUAAAUUCAAUUAUUACUAAAAUGAGUUAAUGAUCUACAUUAAUUAAAUAAUAUGAUAAAUUGAUAUGAAAUUUUCAGUAGUUGCUUCGACAAUGAAUGUGACAUCCUGAUGCCUUAACUCGACGAUCAGGUCGGGUAUGGGGGUGUUACAGUAAGCGCGCUAAAAUUUCCUUAAUGGCAUGUCAUCUAUAUUUUAAUAGUUCAUAUCUUGUCUACAUAGGCUUCAUUUUCAUCAAAUUAUAGCAUUUAUUUAGUUAAGAAAUAUACUAUAAAUUUACAAUUUUCUCAAUUGAGUCCUCUUCUUCACUAUACAAUAUAGCUUGUAUUUCACUUUAGAUCAAAUGCACAUAACAUCAUCACUAUAUUACUUUUACAUUUUUUACAAUUUAAUCCUUAUAACAAUAUUUAGUAUAAUUAUAUCUUCCACUUUCAUUAACACAUGUAACUUGUCUCCAUAUUUAAUAAUCUUCCAUAAUUCGCUAAUAAUUCUUAUUAUAAAUUUCACAUAUCACUUUUACUUUGCAAUUUUAGUCCUUAUCACAACAUUCCAUACAAUAGUACCUUACAUUUUCAAUAACACAUAUAACAUAUUUCAUUUCUUAAUUUAAUUUCUAUAUUUCACCACAAAUUCUUAUUAUCACAUUCGCAUAUUAUUUUUGCUUAUUUUAUCAAAAUAGUCUUUAGGACGUCAAUUCAACCAAUAGAACUUUCAUCUCUUUUUAAUACAUGCAAUAUGUUUCUCUGUCUAAUAUAAUUUCCAUAAUUCUUCACUAGAUCUUAUCAUAUUUAACUCAUGUUACUUUUAGACAUUUAACAAUUUAGUCUUUGUCUCUCUCUCAUAUUUUAUUCUACACUUUCAUAACACUUCCAUUAUACCUGUUCAUGGUUUAGGCUACCUAUCUAGGCCCGAAGGCCCACCCGAAAUUUGGGAGGGUUUGGGUAAAAAUAUUAGGCUCGAAAAAUGGGUUUUGACAACAAAAUUAGGCUCGUUUAAAAUAUUAGUCGGGCUCGGGUCCGACUCAUUUUUAAGUUUAUAAUACUUUAUAUUAUGUUAUUUUUAUAUAUUAUGUAAUUUAGAACACAUUAAAAAUAAACAUAUACUAAAUAUAUAAUACUACUCUAAUGUAAACAUUAAAAUAAUGUUAAGAUGAUUAUAUAAAAAAUUCAAUAAAUAAAAAAUGUAUAAAAUUAUUAAAUAUUAAAAUUAUAUAAUAUAAAUAUUUUUAAAAAAAUAAAAAUAAUAUGGACGGAUUAAAAAUGGGCUUGGGUUAGUCUCUUGCAAAUAUGAGCAGGUUUGGGUAAAAAUUUAAACCCAUAUUUCAGGUCAGGUCGAGCUUGACAAGCAUAAAGUAUAUUAACAUCAUGCUUAAACCCGGCCCGAACCCGACUUGACCCGGCCCAUGAGAACCUCUAACUACUAUAUCAUUCCACACAUUAUUCUUAUAUAUAUAUAUAUAUAUAUAUAUAUAUAUAUAUAUAUAUUAACUCAAACAUUCAUUUCCUUAUAAUAAUUGCAAAUUUAUCAACUUUAGUAUCUUUUACAAUUUAAUCAUUUUAUGUACUUUUAAUCUUUUCUCACUUUUCUUCCAUUUUCUCGUCAUAUAUUAUUUAAUAAACACAAUCAACUUAUUAUUUCUUUUCACUUAGUCAUUACCAUAUUUUAUUCUUCACUUAUUAAUCAUAUAAGCUUGUAAUUAAAUAUCAUAUUAAAUCUAUAUUCAUCCUAAUAAUUAACAAUAUAAUUGAAAAAAAAAAAGUAAGUUUCUACAUAUACUUACAACUUUAGGCUUGAAAUCAAGCUUUCUUCUUCCUUUGGCCAUUCAUUUGCCUUAUUUCUUCACUUAUUUCUCACUUUCCUUUACUAUUUCUCAAACACUUAUAUUCAACAUUAACUCCUAUUUUCUCUCUCCUCUAAGACAUUCAUGGAUGCACCUCUGAUGGAAUUUAGGUAGUUAUUAGACUUCUCUAUUGAUUUCACUCAGUAAUUAUGAAGAAAUUUUAAAGAACUAAGCUUAACUGGUUUGGUAAUAAUGAAAAUAAUUUAAUUGAAAGAAAAGUAAAACUUGGAAUGGAUGGUUCUGGUGGCUAACGUGAGAGAUAAAGAUGAAUGAUUGCUUUUAUUAUCUUCAUCAAUUGUAUACUUACCAUAUAUAAAAUGGAUGACUAAGCUGGUGUUAUGAGUCAACUCGACACCAACUCAAUUGUGAAAUUACUAAAAUAUCUUUACUUAUUAAUAUUAUUACAAAGACAUUUUUGUUAGUUCAUACAUUUAUUUUAUUUUGUUUUAUAUUUUACGUAUUUAUUUUACGAUUCAUGUUUGAGAUUCGGAUAUGUCCCUCCUAAUAAUAUUGUCUCUAAGCUCCAAACUUUAUAACAUUUCGUACUUUUAUAUAAUACUUCAAAUAAAAUAACUAAAAAAAUUGUUUAGGAAUCAAAUACAAUGCUAACAAAUCUAAAUAGAAAUCUCUUGCCACAAAGGAUAUAAUUAUUUAUUGAAAUAGAUUUAUAAAUAGAUGUGAUAAAAUGUAGUAUGUACCUUAUGUGAAUUAAUAUACUAAAAAGUUAGAAUCAUUCAUUGCUUAAAAAAAUUACUUCUGACUCUAAAAGCAUUUUUGGAAGAAAAGCUGUGCAGAACAAGUUGUUUUUGACUGAAAUUUUUAGCUUUUCAGAAAGCACUUCUAAAAAUGAGAAGCUAAAAAUUUUAGCUUUUCCUCCGCAAAAGCACUUUUGGUGCUUAAUUACUUUUUCACCAUUCCAAUAACAUAAUACUUUCCUUUUUUUUCUUGGUGCUUAAUUACAAAUGUGUUAAAAUCAUUAAUUAAAAAUAAAAAAAUUAAAAUCUUAAUUAGAAAUAUUUGAUGGUUAUAUUUAAAUAUUUAAAAUAUAGUUUAUAUAUUCUACUUUAAUUUUACAAAUAAUUAAUAUUUAUUGUUUAAAAAUAUUUAAAAUUUAUAUUUCAUAUAUUAAAAUAUUAAUAACAAGUUAUAAUAAUUUUUUUAUAUUCUUACUAAAAUAUAAUAAUAUUAAAUAAUUUAAAUAUUAUUUAAAUGUAUAUUUAUUACUUGAUAAUAAUAUGUCUAAAAUAGACAUUUUAUUUCUCAAAAACACUUUUUAACAAUAAUUCUAAAGACUCAAAUUUUAAACAUAACUUUUUAAAUGCAGUCCUCAAAAGCAGUUUUAUAUAAUACUUUUCAAAAGCACAGUCAAAACUAUCACUAAAUAUCAUGACAUUGGAUGCGAGAUUAAAGUCAAACGAAACUUCAUAAAACUUGGGCUUUUCCAACUUCUGUAUGCCGUAUUGAAGGGCUAGCAAUUUAUUUUGCUUUUAAAGAUAGCUUUCCAAGCUGACUAUGCAAAGGAAGACCCCAACAGUGCGAGAGACUUGUUCAAGUCUCUCUUAAUAUUAUUAUAUUUCAACUUUGCCAUGAGAAAAACACAAACAUCAAUGUGGAAAAUUGGACUCGAGUGCUUUUAAGACUAAAAGUAGGUAUAUCCAAAAUAUUGCAGAUGAACCUAAAUAUCAAUACUGAAAUACUGUUUGGAACCUUGAGUUGUUAAAGAUGAAGAGAGUAGCCUGGCUUCCUUCCCUGCUGCUCCUGAUAGUUACGUUGCAUACUUGUUUAUCUGAUGUUGAGUCUAAUUCUACAGCAGAAGCACUUGCGCUCCUCAAUUGGAAAGCCAGCCUUCUAUCCCUCACAAACCGUUCUGUUUUGCCUUCGUGGACUGUCUCGCCUGGAAAUGCACAAGCAAAUCCCUGCGGUUGGUUUGGGAUCCAUUGCAAGGGUGACAGCGUUUCCAGAAUCAAUCUUACGAGUUAUGGUGUAAAAGGUACAUUCCAUGCAUUUCCAUUCUCAUCUUUGCCUAAUCUUGAAGAGUUAGACCUUAGCAUCAAUGGACUUUUUGGCACAAUCCCACGUCAAAUCAAUCAACUCUCUAAUCUCACUUACCUUGAUUUAUCAUAUAAUCAGUUGUCUGGAAGAAUCCCACCUCAAAUUGGUCAACUUAUUCAUCUCAAGACCCUUCACCUUGUUCAAAACCUGUUGAAUGGCUCCAUUCCUGAGGAAAUAGGUCAGCUAGAGUCCCUCGAAGAGCUUUCCUUGCAAAACAACUAUCUAAAUGGUUCCAUCCCUUCUUCUUUGGGUAACUUGGCCAACCUGACCUACUUGUAUAUGUUAAAAUAAUUCCCUUUCUGGUAACAUCCCUUCAGAAAUAGGAAAUCUUAGCAGCUUGCAGGAACUUUACAAUGGCAACAAUCAACUCACAGGUUCCAUCCCUUCCACUUUUAGAAACCUAAAACACUUAAGAUUCCUCAACUUGUCCACUAACAGUCUUUCAGGAUCCAUCCCUUCUGAAUUUGGGCAUAUGGAAUCGCUGAAUGGAUUAGCACUUUUUAAAAACAAUCCAUCAGGUUUCAUCCCACCCUCACUCGGAAACUUGACUGACCUGACCAUUCUCCAACUGUAUGAAAAUAAACUUUUUGGCCCCAUUCCUGAAGAGUUAGGGAACUUGAAAUUAUUGGUUUUCCUAGAGGUGAGUCAAAACCAACUCAAUGGUUCUAUUCUAUCUUUAUUUGCUAAUUUGAGCAACUUGGAAACUUUGUUCCUCCGAGACAACCAACUUUCUGGUCCCAUACCUCAAGAAAUAGGAAACCUCAUGAAAAUGAGGAUGUUGGAACUCGAUGGAAACCAUUUCACUGGGUAGCUGCCGCAAAACAUUUGCAGAGAUGGAACACUGGAAUAUUUCAUAGCCAAUGACAACCAUUUCAGAGGACCAAUACCCAAAGACUUGAAAAACUGCAGCAGCCUAAAAAGAGUGCGCCUGGAAAGAAAUAGACUGACUGGAAACAUAUCAGAAGAUUUCGGAGUCUAUUCAAGCUUGAAUUUUCUAAGCCUUAGUGACAAUGACUUUUAUGGUGAAAUUUCGCCUCAGUGGGCGUCGUGCAAUAAUUUGAGCAGCCUACAGAUUGCCCGGAACAACAUCACUGGCAGAAUACCACCUGAGCUUGGAAACUCAGCUCAGCUUCAGGCUCUUGAUCUUUCUUCAAAUCAUUUAGUGGGGGAGAUUCCAAAGGAACUGACAAAAUUGACAUCUUUAACAAGGCUUAUUUUGUCAGGGAAUCAACUCUCUAGUGGUAUACCAAUGGAAGUUGGAUCUUUUUCCCAACUCGAGUAUCUUGAUUUGUCGGCGAACACAUUGAGUCCGUCCAUCCCCGAGACUAUAGCGGAUAUGUUGAAAUUGUACUACUUGAAUUUGAGUAGCAACAAUUUUAGCCUGGGAAUUCCACCUCAGAUAGGCAAGUUAGUUCAAGUGAAUGAAUUAGAUCUGAGUCAUAAUGUGAUUCCAGGGGAGAUUCCAACACAAUUUCAAUCUUUGCAGAGCUUGUCAACGUUGAACCUCUCUAACAAUAACCUCUUCGGCAAUAUCACCAUUUUCAAUGAGCUCCGAGGCUUGGUCCAAGUUGACAUAGGGCAUAAUGAAUUGGAGGGUCCAGUUCCUGAUGUCCCAGCGUUUCAAAAUACUUCAAUACAAGCAUUAGAAGGAAACAAGGGUUUGUGUGGCGAUGUUAGUGGGUUGAAACCUUG
RNAcentral lists this long non-coding RNA (11332 nucleotides) under Gossypium raimondii (Peruvian cotton). Its description in RNAcentral is "long non-coding RNA (GRAI_LNC007089)". Lineage: Eukaryota; Viridiplantae; Streptophyta; Magnoliopsida; Malvales; Malvaceae. The record is from RNAcentral.